Molecule: microRNA, 22 nt
Filed under: Caenorhabditis elegans
Lineage: Eukaryota; Metazoa; Nematoda; Chromadorea; Rhabditida; Rhabditidae
Description: cel-miR-228-3p
Gene: cel-miR-228-3p
Source: miRBase by way of RNAcentral
GCGGAUCAUACGGUACCAUAGC